This 254-nucleotide ribosomal RNA is filed under the name uncultured bacterium. RNAcentral's name for it is "partial 16S ribosomal RNA". It matches the Rfam family "Bacterial small subunit ribosomal RNA", at positions 524 to 776 of the family's 1533-position model. The record is from RNAcentral.
UACGGGGGGAGCAAGCGUUGUUCGGAUUUACUGGGCGUAAAGGGCGCGUAGGCGGUCAGCACAAGUCAGUUGUGAAAUCUCCGGGCUUAACUCGGAAAGGUCAACUGAUACUGUGCGACUAGAGUGCGGAAGGGGCAACUGGAAUUCCUGGUGUAGCGGUGAAAUGCGCAGAUAUCAGGAGGAACACCGAUGGCGAAGGCAGGUCUCUGGGCAUUAACUGACGCUGAGGAGCGAAAGCAUGGGGAGCGAACAGG